UGGAACUAGGUGAUCUUAAGGUCCUUUCCAACCCAAACCAUUCUAUGAUUCCCAGUCUGUUUUCUCCUCUCUCAGUUUGGAAGAUGAGACACACUAGCAGUAUGAUGAACAAUUACAAGAUGAGCAAUAUACUGAUACCACUGCCCAGCAAUUCUAGAUAAUCCUGGCCUUCUUUAGUGCAUUUACAUAAGCACUGACACUACUACAGUCUCCACUGUACCAACCUUUUGCUCCUCUGUAGGGUCCUACUAGUUCUGCUUUAUUGUCUCAUCCCUUCCCACCCAAAACUCUGCAGAGUGGAGGUGGUAUCCACAGAGCCUCCAUGCCCCAGCAGUAACUAGGAGCUGGAGGCAGCUUAUUCUUCACACCAUACACCCUGAGCUCCUGCCCCUCUGUGAGAUCAGUGUGGCUGAGGAGACAGAGCCAGAAGGAGACAAACUGAGCCUCUUUUCACCACUUAAGAUUUUACUGAUUUAGGCCAGAGUCACACUGAGCUAUGACCAGUAUCAAAAGAGGAAUCUCAAUGGAAGGCAAAAAUAUUUCACAGCAUCCAGACAUCCUACAGGUCUUCAGAAGCUGUUGAAGGACAAGACAGCAAUAAUCUUCAGGAGCUGAUCAGCUACACAAUAAACAGACCGAGGGAGAGGGGAGAAUCCUUCCAACUUGUAAACUGCAUAAAUGAAAAGGAAGCAGAUACAGGACACCAGGACACUCCCCCAACCCCAAUAAGGAUGAGGAAACAAAUACUCACCACUGAAACACUUUCCAGAGGGAUGGAUUCUGAAUCCUGUUUAUUUUGAGGAUGCUGUAUUUCUUCAUAGUCUGAUGAAACAGCUGCUUUAUUUGGUUGUAUUCAGCAGUUGUAUCAGUGAUCUCCACUGCCUAUAAAAUACAAACCAAAGCAAAAAAAGACAUGAGGCUUCAGUUAGCUCAUAACAUGCCAAAGCCUCAUUACAGCAGGUACACUUUCAGAAAAGAGUCCCCAACUAUACUUAUGAAGGUUAACUUAAUGUUUUAGAUUGUGACUAUGUGACUAAAUUAGGACAGACACUUAAUAUGUAAACCAAUGUGUCACUCCUGCGCUGCAAGGACACCUCGCCUCUCUUCAGGAAGGAUGCUGAAAGGGUCAGUUAAAUGUUCAUCACCUUCAAGUAAGGGUUGACACAACUUUAGAUCUCAGUGAAACAGAAAUUUCAGAAACAAAACUUCACUGAUUAUGCCAGAUGUUAGUUUUAUAUAUAAAGCUGUUUAAGAACAAAAGGUGCUAGAAAACAGUAUCAUUUGUAACCAGACAUUUAAUGAAGCAUCAGCUAUUAAAGGUGAAACAAACACAUACAACCUCCCAGGAUCACAGCUCCUUAACUUAUCGAAGUUAAAACUUGGAAAGUUGCACUUAAAUACAGACUUAAGAAAAAAAGCUCAAUUUCUAAACAUAAGAGAACAAUUAGGAUUCUAAUAAGAAGGUUACACUAAAUACCCGUUUCAGCAAGUAGAUCUCCUUUCCUAAAGGAAACAAAGUCUAUUUAUUCAUACUUUUUGUGUUUAAAAACCCAUCAGGAAAUGUGCAUUUUUCCCAUAGAAGAGCUAAUGUAAACCAGAAUUAAAAUAAGAUUGGAGCUCUUCUGCUUGCUUGUGUCAUGCAUAAAGUUUCCAUUUUUUCUCUGAAGUAAUCUAUGCUUCGAUCUUCUACAAUAAACACUUCUCUUCCAUAAGCUUGACUGAAAAUGCAUAAUGCUGGUAGACUGAUGUCACUUGGCAGUACUUUCCGCUUCACUGCUGCCUAAGCCAAGCGGGGACGUGAGGUGACAUCUCGCAUAUCAAAGUUGUGUUUAAAGCAGGAAAACUGCUUUAAUGGAAUCAACAUCUUACCAACAUCAGGCAAAAACUCCAUGUUUUACAAGGCUGAGUUUGAAGAGGAGAUAAAAAUAGGACUUAUAUUUCACAGCUGCAUAUAAAUAAAGAGGUGUUUUUCUGGACACCAUGUCCAGAUUGUGCACUAAGGACUUACUGAUGAAAAGGCCUUAUCAUAGGAAAGUCUUCUAAGGAUUGAAAAUAAAGUCAGCUACACAAGAAAGAAUAAUUUCUUUGAAUUUAUUAAAAAGCUUUUACAAGGUUGAAUUAAAUUUCGCAUGUCUUAAUACAAGAGUAUUUUCCAAAGCUUUUUUAAAACAUAAUACAAUACAUAAAACAA
Molecule: long non-coding RNA, 2191 nt
Organism: Strigops habroptila (Kakapo)
Lineage: Eukaryota; Metazoa; Chordata; Aves; Psittaciformes; Psittacidae
Exons: 2
Source: RefSeq, a predicted model, not a curated record